UUUCUGAGAGUUUGAUCCUAGCUCAGGAUGAACGCUGGCGACGUGGAUAAGGCAUGCAAGUCAAGGGGGCUAGCAAUAGCAACCGGCGAACGAGUUAGUAACACGUGGAUAUCAACCCAUUACACAGAGAUAACCCUGUGAAAACAGGGCUAAUAUCUGAUAGUCCCUCACGGGUAAAGGUACAUCUUCGGAUGGACCGGUAAUGGAUGAGUCUGCGGCCUAUCAGCUAGUUGGUAGGGUAACGGCCUACCAAGGCUAUGACGGGUAGGGGAUGUGAGAGCAUGUUCCCCAACGAUGGGACUGAGACACGGCCCAUACUCCUACGGGAGGCAGCAGUCGAGAAUAUUGGUCAAUGGGCGCAAGCCUGAACCAGCGACGUCGCGUGCAGGAAGAAGGCCUUCGGGUUGUAAACUGCUUUUCUGCUUGAAUAACCCUUCGGGGUGAAGGUAAAGCAGGAAUAAGCGGAGCCUAAUUCUGUGCCAGCAGGCGCGGUAAUUCAGAAUCCGCAAGCGUUAUCCGGAUUUAUUGGGCGUAAAGGGUCCGUAGGCGCCUUGCCGCAUCUUUUGUUAAAUUUUCAGAGCUCAACUUUGAAACUGCAAAAGAGAUGGGCGAGGUAGAGGGCGUUAGAGGCUGAUGGAACGGUCGGUGUAGGGGUGAAAUCCGUUGAUAUCGACCGGAACACCAAAAGCGAAGGCAUUCAGCUGGGGCGACCCUGACGCUGAGGGACGAAAGCGUGGGUAGCGA
RNAcentral lists this ribosomal RNA (744 nucleotides) under Candidatus Nealsoniibacteriota bacterium. Its description in RNAcentral is "bacterial SSU rRNA". It matches the Rfam family "Bacterial small subunit ribosomal RNA", at positions 1 to 771 of the family's 1533-position model. The record is from RNAcentral. Lineage: Bacteria; Candidatus Nealsoniibacteriota.